RNAcentral lists this long non-coding RNA (348 nucleotides) under Oryctolagus cuniculus (rabbit). RNAcentral describes it as "lncRNA (ENSOCUG00000033082.1)". Lineage: Eukaryota; Metazoa; Chordata; Mammalia; Lagomorpha; Leporidae. The record is from RNAcentral.
GGGGUCCUGGAUGUGCUCUCUGCUCGUUCUUCAAAGUGUGGGAAGGUGUACUGCUUGACUUUCUGGUCUACCCUGUUCUCAAGUGUGUCUUCAUAUCAUUUACUCUCACCAGAUCCACUUUUCCUGCGCCCCUGGAGCUUUCCAAGUUGAGCAUUGUUUCCUACUGCACAAGGAUUCUUCCCACUUCAGAAUUGCAGCUACGACACUGUAUUGUCUUUUCAGCAGCAGCUUCCCUAACCCCGAAGGCUAGGUGCCUGCCAGUGCCCUGAUGUCUCUGUCCUUCAGAAAUGUUUGUGGCUGAGGGCAUCCGUGAAUAAAGGCAUAAAUCUGAAUAAGAGUGAAGGAUAA